UGCAUCGUUGCAGCCCUACUGUAAACCAGCUCGGUUCUGGUAGGAACUGGACUUGGAGGCAGGUGAUGUCCUGUGGUGACCUCUGACAAAGAAAUGGCCAAAACACAGAGGAGAGAAAAAACUGGUCCAAAUCUUCCAGUCUUUAUUUCUAAGAUGAACUCCAGCAGAUUAAAUCCUAACCGUGGGGCUGCUGCAGUGGUGGCCAACAAAAUAAUGUACACAGACCAGAAUAGUUCUGCGAGCUGUGCACAUCGAAGCAGAAACAAUUUUAAACAACUGGCUGCAAGAACUGCUUUUUCUUUGGUCACAAACAGAACUCAACACGACUGCUACAGAAACAUUUCCUCCUAAUUUUGAGUUGUGAGAACUCAGAACCUUUACUGCCUGAGAGCCGUGAACGUAUUUCCUGAAGAUAUUCAUGAAAAUCAACAAACCCUGCCAGCAGACCUUUGUCCAACAGCAAAGUGUCAAAUUUAAAACUGUYGUUCUAAAAACAGAAAGAUCUCUAAAGAAAACCUGCCUCAGACUCAGUCCUGCUCCAGGUUCAGAUCAAAUACUUUGUUCUGUUCUGGACCUUCAAGCUUUAAACUACAGGAGAGGCUUUGUUUACAUCAAUCCCCCUGUAUUCUUGGACAUGCACAUUAUUAUUAUUUCUCCACAUCGUCCCUAGCUUGGCACAUUUGUGAUUCAGUCUACUGGAGUAAUAAUAAAUAAUCUUGUGGUUUUAGAGCUGGACAUUCAGAGCUUCACCUCUGAUAUUAUCUAUCAGAUUCUCCUGCAGGAAUCAUAAUUUUCAACCUGUUUUCCUCUGAAAUGACGGAACCGUAGCUGAGAAGGAUCAGAAACAACUCUGUCCAGGUUGUGAGUUAGAUUUAAACAUGUCAUUAAUUCAAGUGACAACCUUCUGAGACCCACAGAAGAAGCCCUGCAGAGGUUGGGGGCACUUUGGGGACCCGGUCGGCAGCGACAGACCCUCAGACCACCUUCAGCUCUGCUUCCCUGCUUUUCCUCGACACCUUCGCAAACAGAGGAGUGAAAGAAGAGAAAAGCUGUUCUCAGCAGCAGCUCUGCUAUAUAAAAACUCAAAGCCUUCAGUUGCAGGUGUGACCAAGAAACAAAAGGCCUUUGGGAAACUCCAAACAAUGGAGCCCCACCCCCGACCACUUUGGAUGUUUUCGGGGUCCUAAAGGCGAUAAAAACAGCCAAAUGUUUGGAGCUUCUUCCUCCAUCUGAAGAAUCUGUGGGCAGCAGUUCAACGACACCACCGAUGGAGGUCCGCUUUAACAGGACUGUUCAGGAGGUUAACGGUGGUCUAUAACGGGACUGUUCAGGAGGUUAACGGUGGUCUAUAACAGGACUGUUCAGGAGGUUAACGGUGGUCUAUAACGGGUCUGUUCAGGAGGUUAACGGUGGUCUAUAACGGGUCUGUUCAGGAGGUUAACGGUGGUCUAUAACAGGACUGUUCAGGAGGUUAACGGUGGUCUUUAACUAGAUUGUUCAGGUGGUUCACAGUGGUCUUUAACGGGACUGUUUAGUUGGUUAACGGUGGUCUUUAACGGGACUGUUCAGGAGGUUAAUGGUGGUCUUUAAGGGGACUGACUGUUCAGGAGGUUAACGGUGGUCUUUAACUAGACUGUUCAGUUGGUUAACGGUGGUCUUUAACUAGACUGUUCAGGUGGUUAAAGGUGGUCUUUAACGGGUCUGUUCAGGAGGUUAAUGGUGGUCUUUAAGGGGACUGUUCAGGUGGUUAAUGGUGGUCUUUAACUAGACUGUUCAGAUGGUUAAUGGUGGUCUUUAACUAGAUUGUUCAGGUGGUUAACGGUGGUCUUUAACUAGACUGUUCAGGUGGUUCACAGUGGUCUUUAACUAGACUGUUUAGUUGGUUAACGGUGGUCUUUAACGGGUCUGUUCAGGAGGUUAACGGUGGUCUUUAAUGGGUCUGUUCAGGAGGUUAACGGUGGUCUUUAAGGGGACUGUUCAGGAGGUUAACGGUGGUCUUUAAUGGGUCUGUUCAGGAGGUUAACGGUGGUCUUUAAGGGGACUGUUCAGGUGGUUAACAGUGGUCUUUAACUAGACUGUUAAGGAGAUUGACGGCGGUCUUUAACGGGACUGUUCAACUAGACUGUUCAGGAGGUUAGUGGUGGUCUUUCAGGGGACUGUUCAGGAGGUUAGUGGUGGUCUUUCAGGGGACUGUUCAGGAGGUUAGUGGUGGUCUUUCAGGGGACUGUUCAGGAGGUCUUUCUCUCUAACUUCUGACCCUUCAGCAGCUGAAGCGCACUGAGACCCUCGGCCAGCUGUGGUCCAACAGAACGAGGAGCUCCGGUCAGAGUUCUUGUUCCAGUCUGUAAUUACAGCUGGAGCUCAGAGUUCAACACAUCUGGAUUCAUUUCUGUCAACAGAGUUGUUGCUCUCUGGAUUAAAUCAACAAAAAUCAUCCAAUCAAAGCUCCUCAGGUCUGUUUAAAGAAAACAAGAAGUCUUUGAAUCAUUAAUGGCUCCAGGUUUUCUGUUCUACUUGUUUUUSUUUUCAUUUAAAUUCUCCACGUCCGCUCCUUCCUGCGCGUCAUGCUUGAAGCCCGGCUCUAACGCUGGCUUUGUGCGGAGCGGAGCACGAAGCCAUUCGAGUUCUGUCCGUGGAAAAUCGUUUUGUCCCCCUUCAGUCCACAUGCAGGACUCUAACAAAAGACAACAAAGAYGGCAGGGACAGCAGUUCAAAGCUUCUCCUGGAAACACUGCUGCUUUAAUGUGGAGCGAGGAUUUCAAACUGUCCCUCCUGAGCUGUCAGCUUUCCUUCAGGAGUUCAGCUGUUCCCUGAGAGGAACCAGCAGCUGGAGAACAAACCGCUUCCACUGAAGCACAUCUAGUUUCAAAUCUGAUGUAAAGAAAAUGAGCCAUGAAGGUCUGGUGAGGACCAGCCUGGAGGACCAGCCUGGAGGACCAGCCUGGAGGA
This is a long non-coding RNA of Austrofundulus limnaeus, 2949 nucleotides long. RefSeq lists it as uncharacterized. The transcript is spliced from 3 exons. Lineage: Eukaryota; Metazoa; Chordata; Actinopteri; Cyprinodontiformes; Rivulidae. The record is from RefSeq and is a predicted model, not a curated record.